GGGCGCAAGCCUGAUCCAGCCAUGCCGCGUGAGUGAAGAAGGCCUUCGGGUUGUAAAGCUCUUUCAGCUGGAAAGAAAUCGUAUCUAUUAAUACUAGGUGCGGAUGACGGUACCAUCAGAAGAAGCACCGGCUAACUACGUGCCAGCAGCCGCGGUAAUA
This 160-nucleotide ribosomal RNA is filed under the name uncultured bacterium. RNAcentral's name for it is "partial 16S ribosomal RNA". It matches the Rfam family "Bacterial small subunit ribosomal RNA", at positions 373 to 525 of the family's 1533-position model. The record is from RNAcentral.